UACGGAGGGUGCGAGCGUUGUUCGGAAUUACUGGGCGUAAAGCGCGCGUAGGCGGCUUUUCAAGUCGAUUGUGAAAUCCCCGGGCUUAACCUGGGAACUGCAGUCGAGACUGUCUAGCUAGAGUAUGGGAGAGGGAAGUGGAAUUUCAGGUGUAGCGGUGAAAUGCGUAGAUAUCUGAAGGAACAUCAGUGGCGAAAGCGACUUCCUGGACCAAUACUGACGCUCAUGUGCGAAAGCGUGGGGAGCAAACAGG
This 253-nucleotide ribosomal RNA is filed under the name uncultured bacterium. Its description in RNAcentral is "partial 16S ribosomal RNA". It matches the Rfam family "Bacterial small subunit ribosomal RNA", at positions 524 to 776 of the family's 1533-position model. The record is from RNAcentral.